CCGCAUUUUGACGUCAUAUUUUUUUAUUUUAUAGACACAAGUGUAGUGAUUCACGCAUAUGCGUGGUCCGUGUGGAGAAAUAUCACGCUUGUGUCUAUGAAGUAAAAAAUAUGGGGUCAAAAUGCGGUGUAAGGAGCAUUACUCUUUUGUAAAUGCAUACAAAGCAAUGGGCUCUACGCUUGACAUCUCUCGUUGGAGCGAGGGAGUGAAUAAUGGCAUCUCAUCAAACGAAAUAAAAUAACAAAAGCAUCUCUGUGGGAAAUCAGAAUACACGGGAAGUGGCCCCAAAUACAGCCUGUCGAAAAGCAUUGGAAAUUCAAAGGGAUUUAAGUUAGGCAGGGGUCUUAGCUCAUUGAUUUAAUCAGAAUUUUUCGGCUUAAUCAACUAACUCAUGAAUAAUAUUAAGCUGAUCGAAAAGGGAAAAUUAGGGAAGUACACACUACUAUUUCGCAUUUUAAUUCCGAAAAUCAGAUCAUCCUUCAAUUUCUUAAAAUAUAUUUUAAGCGAUCCGAUUGGAUCAAAUUUAUUUUUUGAUUUUUAGUGUUAUGAAUGUCAUGACGAUAUAUAGUAGUACUAGUCUUAAACAGGAAAUGGAAUGGAGUUUGUUUGAACACUACACACCAAUAUGAAACUACAACAAACACCUAAUCACUUGAGCUAACUUGUAAGUUUCAGUUCGGUCUUUUUAUAUCAAAUAACUUGACUAUUCGAGAAAAUGAAUGGCUCUCAUCAAAUCACAAGGUUUGGAGGAUCGAAGGAAUAUUCUUGAAAAAAAGUUACUUUUGAUGAAUUUUUUUUUUUUUUGGAUAGUACUUUAUUAAAAGGAACUAGUCCAGAGGAUCGAGGGAAAAAUCUCAACAAAAGCAAACAGCAGAGAAUACAUUAAGAAAACCAAAACUUAAGGCCAAGGAUUAACUAAUUCCCACUAGCAUGGCAUGCGCAAUCUCAAAAGGGGUGCCCAUCCGUUUGUAUUGAAAGAUAAACUUGAUCUAGAAGCAGCCCAUGUGUUUUUCAUGAGCCACAACUUGUCUCAACAAUUAAUGCUGGCUUGAAGAUACCAUUUGGAAGUUUGCUAAGGCUAAGUUCCAUUCACACCAUUUGUUCACACUAUAGGUUGUACAGUGCAUGAAUUUGUGUCGCUUCUGCUUUCCAACAGUUUACUUUUUGCACAUGAAGCACUCUUCCUUGCAAAGACAACUAGCAAGCAUGGGUAUUAUUUUAAAUAAAAAUAAAAAUUGAUAAGAGACAUUGAGAACAGAAAAUAAAGUACCUGUCUGUUUUCAGAGGUUUUUUUUUGGGGUAGAUCGUAGCCAAGGGUGGAUAAUAGUGUAAUGCAGUUACUGUAGAUUCAUAUCGGUUGGUUUGGUAAUUGCUAGUAUAAGGCACGGGUAAUGAGCAGUAUCUAUUUAAAGUUUACUAAAUUAUGAACACAAUUAUCGUGGGUCACGCUUGCCAAAAAGUUGUGGGUUGCUAUCUGCAGGGCCGACCUAGAGGUAAGUUCAGCAAGCCCCUUGGACUUGGGCAACCCCCCGGGCUAGGGCGCUGUUGGCUUGUAGUUGCUAGAGGUAGUGGUGGACUAGCUCAAUUGUGGCGGUGUGGUUCCUCAGCGUUGGCUAUAGAGCCAUGGGCUUUGCUUAUUGCUUGUGCGGUGGCAGUGGAGGCGAAUUUCCCAGUGGUUAUUUUCGAGUCAGAUUGUAAGAACCUGAUUUCAUGUAUCAAUGAUCCAAAAGUGCAAGCUCCGUGGGAAAUAGAUGGCGAUAUUGAAGAUAUCAAAGACCUUGGCGACGUCUCGGCAGUGGUCUUUUGUUUGGUGCAGUCAUGAGAAAAACAAAGUAGCUCACUGGAUUGCAUUGAAUUGUCUUAAAGAGAAAGUUAUUAUUUCACACGGGUUGUAUUCCGCCCGGGCUAAAUGCCAUUUUGGUCUUAACUUUUGAGUUUCUAAUGAUCAUAUCCAAAAAGACAAGGAAAAAAAGAACUAGUAGUAUUUGAUGUACAUUAACUCAUUAGUAAUCGAAUUUUUCGAAAAGGUUUAACA
Rhododendron vialii is the source of this 2035-nucleotide long non-coding RNA. RefSeq lists it as uncharacterized. The transcript has 3 exons. The record is from RefSeq and is a predicted model, not a curated record. NCBI's taxonomy places the organism in Eukaryota, Viridiplantae, Streptophyta, Magnoliopsida, Ericales, Ericaceae.